CUGACAGUACUCCUACGGGGAGGCAGCAGUGAGGAAUAUUGGACAAUGGAGGCAACUCUGAUCCAGCCAUGCCGCGUGUAGGAAGACUGCCCUAUGGGUUGUUAAACUACUUUUAUAGAGGAAGAAAUCGCAAUACGUGUAUUGCUCUGACGGUACUCUACGAAUAAGGAUCGGCUAACUCCGUGCCAGCAGCCGCGGUAAUACGGAGGAUCCAAGCGUUAUCCGGAAUCAUUGGGUUUAAAGGGUCCGUAGGCGGGCGUAUAAGUCAGUGGUGAAAGUUUGCGGCUCAACCGUAAAAUUGCCAUUGAUACUGUAUGUCUUGAAUAAUUGUGAAGUGGUUAGAAUAUGUAGUGUAGCGGUGAAAUGCAUAGAUAUUACAUAGAAUACCGAUUGCGAAGGCAGAUCACUAACAAUUUAUUGACGCUAAGGGACGAAAGCGUGGGUAGCGAACAGGAUUAGAUACCCUGGUAG
Molecule: ribosomal RNA, 471 nt
Filed under: uncultured bacterium
Lineage: Bacteria
Description: bacterial SSU rRNA
Rfam family: Bacterial small subunit ribosomal RNA
Source: RNAcentral